This 600-nucleotide ribosomal RNA is filed under the name Triticum aestivum (bread wheat). Its description in RNAcentral is "partial small subunit ribosomal RNA". Lineage: Eukaryota; Viridiplantae; Streptophyta; Magnoliopsida; Poales; Poaceae. The record is from RNAcentral.
AUGGGAGAUGUGCGUAGUGAAAACAGACAACUCCAAGCUCGUUUGAAGAAUGCUAUUUCUUUAGAGAAAAGGAAACAGGCGCUGGAGCAGAAGGACCUCGACCUCGCUGCUGCGCAAAAGACGGGGCGGGAGAAAACCGAACUUGCUGACAAGAAGCUGGCUACAGUCGGCAAGUUGGAAGAAGAAAACACCAAACUGAAGACUGCCAUCGGCGAAGCCAACAAGGAAGUCAUGCAGCUGAAGAAAGACAAGGUGACUCUGACUGACAAAGUUGGAUAUCUCACUCGGAAGAAGGACGAGCUGGAGGUUUAUCUAGGAGGACUCGCCAAGAAGCUGUUCCUUAUGCUUGAAGAAUUCUGUCAAAACUUCGAGGAAGAGACUGGGCAAAUUGAGACAAAAUUGGACCCCAUCAACUCCCCUGUUAAGGAUGAAGCUUCCAUGAACGUGCUUCGGCUGGAAUCUCGCCUUGCCAGCGCCGUGGACUACCUUGUGCGACUGAAGGUGGCGGUGUCACGGAUUGACACGGCACUCUGGCCAAGGGUGACAUUUCCGAAUCAUCUGGAGUCUCUGAUGACUCGACUUAAUGAGAUCCCUGGUUGA